AUGCGAUACGUAAUGUGAAUUGCAGAAUCUCGUGAAUCAUUGAAUCUUUGAACGCACAUUGCGCCUUAUGGUAUUCCAUAAGGCAUGCCUGUCUGAGCGUCAGCUCCCCCCCACUCAAGCUCUUUUGCUUGGAUUAUUUUGGAUAAGCAGCUGUACCGGUUGCUGUUCAUAAAUUCAUAGGCAGUAUGGUUUUCUUUCCAGGCUGAGCGUGAUAAAUUUUACUUAUACCGUUCAAUAUUGGAGGCAUCGUACUCGCCCUUAACCCACAAUAACUUUUAUUUGGGUGACCUCAGAUCAGGUAGGGAUACCCGCUGAACUUAA
This 321-nucleotide unclassified non-coding RNA is filed under the name uncultured Peziza. RNAcentral's name for it is "partial contains 5.8S ribosomal RNA, internal transcribed spacer 2, and large subunit ribosomal RNA". The stretch from base 1 to 102 matches the Rfam family "5.8S ribosomal RNA", at positions 53 to 154 of the family's 154-position model. The record is from RNAcentral. Lineage: Eukaryota; Fungi; Ascomycota; Pezizomycetes; Pezizales; Pezizaceae.